AUUGAACGCUGGCGGCAUGCCUUACACAUGCAAGUCGAACGGCAGCACGGGAGCAAUCCUGGUGGCGAGUGGCGAACGGGUGAGUAAUAUAUCGGAACGUGCCCGGUCGUGGGGAUAACGUAGCGAAAGCUACGCUAAUACCGCAUACGAUCUACGGAUGAAAGCGGGGGGAUCGCAAGACCUCGCGCGAUUGGAGCGGCCGAUAUCAGAUUAGGUAGUUGGUGAGGUAAAGGCUCACCAAGCCGACGAUCUGUAGCUGGUCUGAGAGGACGACCA
This 276-nucleotide ribosomal RNA is filed under the name uncultured bacterium. RNAcentral describes it as "partial 16S ribosomal RNA". It matches the Rfam family "Bacterial small subunit ribosomal RNA", at positions 30 to 306 of the family's 1533-position model. The record is from RNAcentral.